UUAAUAAUCCCUCCGUCCGGAAAUACUUGUCCUAGAAAUGGAUGUAUCUAGACUUAUUUUAGUUAUAGAUACAUCCAAUUUAUCCAUUUUGAGACAAAUAUUUCUGGACGGAGGGAGUACCUA
Non-coding RNA from Triticum aestivum (bread wheat), 123 nucleotides. Lineage: Eukaryota; Viridiplantae; Streptophyta; Magnoliopsida; Poales; Poaceae. The record is from Rfam.